GUUAACCUUGUUAACCCCAAUAACUCACAACCCGAAAUUCCUUAAUAACGGCGGACUCAAACCACCCUAGGGACCGUCCUCUGGGGGGACUUUACCACGCCCAGUGGUGACCAACUCCGGAGCGCACCGCUCGAGGGGGAGCUACCUCCCUCAAGCCAAGACUUAUCGUGAGUAUCGAUCCAAUUCUCAACUUGAGGAUACAUAGCCACUAGUCACAAUGCCAAUGUCACAAUAGAUUUCUACCUAUUUAAUCAUGCCACUCUCUAUGUCAACUUGUUCCAAUGUCACUAUGGUUAAGCUAUGUUUAACAACCAAUCUCUUGAUGCCAAUCAUGUCUCUAUUGUCAUUGUAACCUUUGUUUACUAUAGUCCAAGUCCAAGUCCCACAUUCAUACAUUUCUAGGUUUCU
Molecule: long non-coding RNA, 408 nt
Filed under: Ananas comosus (pineapple)
Lineage: Eukaryota; Viridiplantae; Streptophyta; Magnoliopsida; Poales; Bromeliaceae
Description: long non-coding RNA (ACOM_LNC024228)
Source: RNAcentral